AAACAUAUAGUGAAGUGAAACAUUGAAAACAAAGUUUUGUUAUAUUGGAAAGAUAUUUUUGUGUUUUUUAUUGAGUUAUAUAAAUUGAUUGAGAAUUUGAGCAAAAAUUAUAAAAGAGUUUUCACACUCUUUUUAUUAUUCUUGUAAAAGAGAGAGUUUUUGUGAGUGAUUGUUUUAAAUAAAAUCGCAUGGGUUAUAUUGAGAAAAUAAAGCUUUGUUAUAUUGAGUGAAGUGAAACAUUGAAGAUAAAAUUUUUUAUAUUAAGAAAAUAUUAUCGUGUUUUUUAUUGAGUUACAUAAAUUUAUAGAAAAUUUGAGCAAAAAUUGUAAAAGAGUUUUCACAUUCUUCUUAUUAUUUUUGUAAAAGAGAGUUUUUGUGAGCGGUUUUUUUUUGGAUAAAAUCACUUGAAUUAAGUAUCGGAUUCAAAACUAGUCGGGUUAUUUUUGUGAGUGAUUGGAUUUGAUUACUUGUUGUAGAGAGGUUCACUACUAUCCGUGAAGCUAUUGGUGUAAUUAUUAUUUGAAGAAUCAUAGAGAAAUUCUCGAGGAAGAUACUUGAAGAGUGGACGUGCAAGACCACCAUCAAGCUACCAUCCAUCCAGUACUACGCUUCCCCCUCCGAUGUGAAUCGUAGUCCACCAGCAGCACCACCGCGACCACUGCCGUGCACCAGCAUCUCAGUAGCAGUAGCAACUUCCCCGGGUGUCAACCACAAUUGCUGCUUCAUUUUUGCUUAAAUUUGGUAACAAAAACAUGGAUUUAUUCCACCUGCAUCCUGGACUGUGUUUUGUUCACCAUCUGUUUGUAUAAAUGCUUAGAAGAAUGUUUUUCUCUCACAUCCCCAAAUAUAGCUAGGCCAAAUUAAUUAUCCAUUGCCACAUUGAACAUUUGGGUGAUGUACUUUGCUACCACUGCUGCUUGGGGCAAGAGGUUGCAAGGAAGGAAAUCAUGCUCAAUAAUUUCCUGAGACUAGGGAGAUGUGCAAGCAGAGGAACUUCCAGAGUAUCAAAUGCAGCACAAAAAUGUGAAUAAUAAUGCAAAUUCUCAUGGCGCUUAUGUUCAAUACAACGACAAUUAAUUUUGUUUCAACCAUUUCAUGUAAAAUGUAAUAUUAUAUGAUUAAAUGGCGCUUGUAGUUAUAUUGUUUCUGUUGUAACAUGUAUGAGUUGAUGAACAAUUUUUAAGGAAUUUUUGUAGCCAAGUGAGAUGGAUUGGAUUAUGGUAUAUACCUAAAAUUAUAAAUGAAGAUUUUGAAAAUUUUUUUUUUG
Molecule: long non-coding RNA, 1267 nt
Organism: Camellia sinensis
Lineage: Eukaryota; Viridiplantae; Streptophyta; Magnoliopsida; Ericales; Theaceae
Source: RefSeq, a predicted model, not a curated record